This 204-nucleotide long non-coding RNA is filed under the name Elaeis guineensis (African oil palm). Its description in RNAcentral is "long non-coding RNA (EGUI_LNC029617)". Lineage: Eukaryota; Viridiplantae; Streptophyta; Magnoliopsida; Arecales; Arecaceae. The record is from RNAcentral.
GGUUCAUACUUAAUUUUUUAUUUUAUUAAAAUAAAAUAAGAGUCGCAGGAGGAUGAUCCGACGUAUCUAUUUUUUUUGAGUGUGACCAUAUAGCUCUAUUUUUAUUAAAAAAUAUUUGAUUUGAAAUUGAAUUUAGAUAAAUAAAUAAUUUUUUUUUGUCAUACAGAUGGGUUCAACGGAUAAGUAUGUUAUUUUAGUACCACG